CAUGUGAAUUUCCUGUUACAAAGUGUGUUUCAAGUUGAUAUGAUGUCAAAGAGACAGUAGACGAGGUUAUGAAAGGAGGGAAAGUGCAUCAAACCUGUGCAUUUCACAAUAGGUCUGUCCUCACCAGCUUAGUGAUUAUGAAUGAUCCUGUCUCUAAUUCCCUGUCUGUAAAAGGUUGCUUUGAACUCCAGGAAAGGUGCCUCCAGAACCCCUUGGAGAACUUGGAAUUAACUUGUGGCUACCUAUUGGAAGAGGAUGUGAAGUGUCUCUCCCAGUACCCAAGCCUCGGUUACCUAAAGCAUCUGAAUCUCAGCUACGUGCUGCUGUUCCGCAUCAGUCUGGAAUCCCUCGGAGCUCUGCUAGAGAAAAUUGCUGCCUCUCUCAAGACCCUGAUCUUGGAGGGCUGUCAGAUCCACUACUCGCAACUCAGUGCCAUCCUGCCUGGCCUGAGCCACUGCUCCCAGCUCACCACCUUCUACUUUGGCAGAAAUUGCAUGUCUAUGGACGCCCUGAAGGACCUGCUGCGCCACACCAGCGGGCUGAGCAAGUUAAGCCUGGAGACGUAUCCUGCCCCUGAGGAGAGUUUGAAUUCCUUGGUUCGUGUCGAUUGGGAGAUCUUCACCCCACUUCAGGAUGAGCUGAUGUGCACACUGAGGGAAGUCAGGCAGCCCAAGAGGAUUUUCAUUGGCCCCACCCCCUGCCCUUCUGUGGCUCAUCACCAUCUGAGGAAGUGGAGCUCCAUCUUUGUUGCUAGGGAAGGCGUGCCUAGCGGGGUAGAGAAAUCCAAAGUUCUCUUCCAGGCACUUGGACACUAAAAUCUACUAUGUGGGUUCAAGCUAUUUUUCUAUUUUCUUAUUUCCAUUUUUAAUAAUUCCAAAAGUUUUAUUGAAGACAAUUAGAGACAAUGUUUCUCUAUGUUGCUCCAGCUGGGCUUAUGGGAUCCUCCUGCCUCAACGUCCUAAAAUGCUGGGAUUACUGGGAUGAGUGACUGUGUCCAGGCCACAUGCAACUUAAAGGAAUCACAGGCAAGUGCUCAGUGUUAGGGAAAAAAAAGAUAACAGCAGGGGGCAAGGCUGGAAGAAAAUGUUGAAGUGACGUCAAUGAGAACUUCAGGGACCCGUGUCCUACAGAGUCAGAAAGAGAAGCUAAAGCUCUGCAUUGAUGAGAGUGUUAUCCCUGGAAAGACGGUUACCGAGGAGUAUCAGAAACAAAGAGUGCCUGAAUGAAAA
Molecule: small RNA, 1229 nt
Filed under: Pongo abelii (Sumatran orangutan)
Lineage: Eukaryota; Metazoa; Chordata; Mammalia; Primates; Hominidae
Description: processed transcript
Source: RNAcentral